RNAcentral lists this ribosomal RNA (999 nucleotides) under uncultured marine bacterium. RNAcentral describes it as "bacterial SSU rRNA". It matches the Rfam family "Bacterial small subunit ribosomal RNA", at positions 72 to 1063 of the family's 1533-position model. The record is from RNAcentral.
AAGUAUCUUCGGAUAUGAGUAGAGCGGCGGACGGGUGAGUAACGCGUAGGAAUCUACCUAGUAGAAGGGGAUAGCCCGAGGAAACUCGGAUUAAUACCGUAUACCUCCUUCGGGAGAAAGAAGGCCUCUCUUUGAAGCUUUCGCUAUUAGAUGAGCCUGCGUAAGAUUAGCUUGUUGGUGAGGUAAAGGCUCACCAAGGCGACGAUCUUUAGCGGGUCUGAGAGGACGAUCCGCCACAUUGGGACUGAGACACGGCCCAGACUCCUACGGGAGGCAGCAGUGGGGAAUAUUGGACAAUGGGCGCAAGCCUGAUCCAGCCAUACCGCGUGUGUGAAGAAGGCCCUAGGGUUGUAAAGCACUUUAAGUUGGGAAGAAAAGUUAUUGGUUAAUACCCAAUGACCGUGACAUUACCUUCGGAAUAAGGACCGGCUAAUUCCGUGCCAGCAGCCGCGGUAAUACGGAGGGUCCAAGCGUUAAUCGGAAUUACUGGGCGUAAAGCGCGCGUAGGUGGUUUAUUAAGUUGGAUGUGAAAUCCCCGGGCUCAACCUGGGAACUGCAUCCAAAACUAAUUCACUAGAGUACGAUAGAGGGAGGUAGAAUUCACAGUGUAGCGGUGGAAUGCGUAGAUAUUGUGAAGAAUACCAAUGGCGAAGGCAGCCUCCUGGAUCUGUACUGACACUGAGGUGCGAAAGCGUGGGUAGCGAACAGGAUUAGAUACCCUGGUAGUCCACGCCGUAAACGAUGUCAACUAGCUGUUGGAAAACUAUGUUUUUCAGUGGCGCAGCUAACGUAGUAAGUUGACCGCCUGGGGGAGUACGGCCGCAAGGCUAAAACUCAAAUGAAUUGACGGGGACCCGCACAAGCGGUGGAACCAUGUGGGUUUAAUUCGAUGCAACGCGAAAAACCUUACCUAUACUUGACAUACUUGGAAUACUUUGGUAAUGAAGUAGUGCCUUCGGGAACCAAGAUACAGGUGCUGCAUGGCUGUCGUCAGCUCGU